AGUGGGGAAUUUUGGACAAUGGGCGCAAGCCUGAUCCAGCCAUGCCGCGUGCAGGAUGAAGGCCCUCGGGUUGUAAACUGCUUUUGUACGGAACGAAAAGCCUCUCUCGAAUAAAGAGGGGUGAUGACGGUACCGUAAGAAUAAGCACCGGCUAACUACGUGCCAGCAGCCGCGGUAAUACGUAGGGUGCGAGCGUUAAUCGGAAUUACUGGGCGUAAAGCGUGCGCAGGCGGUCUUGCAAGACAGUGGUGAAAUCCCCGGGCUCAACCUGGGAACGGCCAUUGUGACUGCAAGGCUGGAGUACGGCAGAGGGGGGUGGAAUUCCGCGUGUAGCAGUGAAAUGCGUAGAUAUGCGGAGGAACACCGAUGGCGAAGGCAGCCCCCUGGGCCUGUACUGACGCUCAUGCACGAAAGCGUGGGGAGCAAA
RNAcentral lists this ribosomal RNA (427 nucleotides) under uncultured Comamonas sp. RNAcentral describes it as "bacterial SSU rRNA". It matches the Rfam family "Bacterial small subunit ribosomal RNA", at positions 353 to 772 of the family's 1533-position model. Lineage: Bacteria; Pseudomonadati; Pseudomonadota; Betaproteobacteria; Burkholderiales; Comamonadaceae. The record is from RNAcentral.